Molecule: non-coding RNA, 94 nt
Organism: Mycena leptocephala
Lineage: Eukaryota; Fungi; Basidiomycota; Agaricomycetes; Agaricales; Mycenaceae
Source: the annotation of a GenBank genome assembly
GCCUCCGUAGAUCAGCGGUAGAUCGCCCUGGCAAAAUGGGAAAUAAGGCUGAGUCCUUAACAGGGAGCCGUGGGUUCGAAUCCCACCAGAGGCA